GACGCCUGGCGGCAGGCUUACACAUGCAAGUCGAGCGGUAACAGGAGAAGCUUGCUUCUCGCUGACGAGCGGCGGACGGGUGAGUAAUACUUAGGAAUCUACCUAGUAGUGGGGGAUAGCUCGGGGAAACUCGAAUUAAUACCGCAUACGACCUACGGGAGAAAGGGGGCAACUUGUUGCUCUCGCUAUUAGAUGAGCCUAAGUCGGAUUAGCUAGAUGGUGGGGUAAAGGCCUACCAUGGCGACGAUCUGUAGCUGGUCUGAGAGGAUGAUCAGCCACACCGGGACUGAGACACGGCCCGGACUCCUACGGGAGGCAGCAGUGGGGAAUAUUGGACAAUGGGGGCAACCCUGAUCCAGCCAUGCCGCGUGUGUGAAGAAGGCCUUUUGGUUGUAAAGCACUUUAAGCAGUGAAGAAGACUCCAUGGUUAAUACCCAUGGACGAUGACAUUAGCUGCAGAAUAAGCACCGGCUAACUCUGUGCCAGCAGCCGCGGUAAUACAGAGGGUGCAAGCGUUAAUCGGAAUUACUGGGCGUAAAGCGAGCGUAGGUGGCUUGAUAAGUCAGAUGUGAAAGCCCCGGGCUUAACCUGGGAACGGCAUCUGAUACUGUUAGGCUAGAGUAGGUGAGAGGAAGGUAGAAUUCCAGGUGUAGCGGUGAAAUGCGUAGAGAUCUGGAGGAAUACCGAUGGCGAAGCAGCCUUCUGGCAUCAUACUGACACUGAGGUUCGAAAGCGUGGGUAGCAAACAGGAUUA
This 754-nucleotide ribosomal RNA is filed under the name Psychrobacter faecalis. Its description in RNAcentral is "bacterial SSU rRNA". It matches the Rfam family "Bacterial small subunit ribosomal RNA", at positions 32 to 780 of the family's 1533-position model. Lineage: Bacteria; Pseudomonadati; Pseudomonadota; Gammaproteobacteria; Moraxellales; Moraxellaceae. The record is from RNAcentral.